RNAcentral lists this ribosomal RNA (469 nucleotides) under uncultured bacterium. RNAcentral's name for it is "partial 16S ribosomal RNA". It matches the Rfam family "Bacterial small subunit ribosomal RNA", at positions 28 to 507 of the family's 1533-position model. The record is from RNAcentral.
GACGAACGCUGGCGGCGUGCUUAACACAUGCAAGUCGAACGGAAAGGCCCUGCUUGCAGGGUGCUCGAGUGGCGAACGGGUGAGUAACACGUGGGUGAUCUGCCCCUUACUUUGGGAUAAGCCUGGGAAACUGGGUCUAAUACUGGAUAGGACCAUGCUGUAGGUGGUGUGGUGGAAAGAUUAGUUUCGGUAAGGGAUGAGCUCGCGGCCUAUCAGCUUGUUGGUGGGGUAAUGGCCUACCAAGGCGUCGACGGGUAGCCGGCCUGAGAGGGUGGACGGCCACAUUGGGACUGUGAUACGGCCCAGACUCCUACGGGAGGCAGCAGUGGGGAAUAUUGCACAAUGGGCGCAAGCCUGAUGCAGCGACGCCGCGUGGGGGAUGACGGCCUGCGGGUUGUAAACUCCUUUCAGCCAUGACGAAGCCCUUGUGGUGACGGUAGUGGUAGAAGAAGCACCGGCUAACUACGUG